UACGGAGGGUGCAAGCGUUAUCCGGAUUCACUGGGUUUAAAGGGCGCGUAGGCGGGCUCACAAGUCAGGGGUGAAAUCCCACGGCUCAACCGUGGAAGUGCCUUUGAUACUGUGGGUCUUGAGGGAGGUAGGGGCGUGCGGAACUUCCGGUGGAGCGGUGAAAUGCGUAGAUAUCGGAAGGAACACCGGUGGCGAAAGCGGCGCGCUGGACCUCUACUGACGCUGAGGCGCGAAAGCCAGGGGAGCAAACGGG
Molecule: ribosomal RNA, 253 nt
Filed under: uncultured bacterium
Lineage: Bacteria
Description: partial 16S ribosomal RNA
Rfam family: Bacterial small subunit ribosomal RNA
Source: RNAcentral